Molecule: transfer RNA, 68 nt
Filed under: Ophiogomphus cecilia
Lineage: Eukaryota; Metazoa; Arthropoda; Insecta; Odonata; Gomphidae
Description: tRNA-Asp
Rfam family: tRNA
About the family: Transfer RNA (tRNA) molecules are approximately 80 nucleotides in length. Their secondary structure includes four short double-helical elements and three loops (D, anti-codon, and T loops).
Source: RNAcentral
AAGAGAUUAGUUAAAUAUAUAACAUUAGUAUGUCAAACUAAAAUUAUUGGUAUUAUCAAUAUCUUUUA